GGUUCCACCAUAUGUCAGACUGGAUCUGGCUCAGAUAAGGGUACAGACGUUAAACUCUGGAAGGAAUGUGCAGUUUCCCCAGGACGUGUGCAAUGUGUAUUGUAGAAGGGGGAAAAGAAAUGCAAACAAAACAUGCUACUUGAUUAAAACCCUGUUAGGGCUACCAAAGGAGCCCCCAAAGGCUGAGUUUCCUUGGUCAGUUCGCUGGGUGUUUUGGAAGCAGGAGUUGAAAGUGAAAAGUCCUCAGAACUCGGAUGGAAGUUGCCUGUGUCCCUUUUUAGACAGAGGCUCUGAGCUCUGCGGAGGCUGUGGAGCCAAAGGCCGGCCAGAAAGCGUCUGUGUGGAUGCAAAUCGCCUGACUGGUAAAGAAAGAAAAGAACUGCCCAGAGACGGCAGCACCAAGGAGCUGCGGAUAAAGGACAGACCUGGUCCGCAGACAAACCACCCGGAACCCAAGGGCUCAAAUUCUGACCCUCCAGAAGAAGGUGGGAAAGAAAGUCAAACCUAAAGCUGAAAAAGGAACAGGGUGAAGAAACCAGAGCUGCAGAAGGGCGGAGGCCGAGGAAGGCCCGUCUGUUACCAGGGACACAUCCUCAGGCAGCAGACGCCAUAUUAGGAGGGACUGGUUUUAAAGCAGGAAUUGGAAAGACUAUAAAGCUGGAGGUAAUUAAAAAUAAGUUUCUUGUCACAACUGCAAAACAGUCUCCUUCCCAGGCAGGCAGAUACGUAGGAGAUAAAACAGCCUUGGCCACAGGACGCAGGGAUGCGAAUUCUUAGUUUAGCGUCACUUAAGCAUGAAAUGUUUUGGGUGACAUCCGGGAAUGUUCGGGGAUUAACGCAACUUUUAAAACAACAACAGAAGUCCUUGUUUAACACCUACAGAUAUAAAUGAGGGCAAUGUGUUUCCAGUGUGGUUAAUGGUCAUUUGUCAUUAGGUAAAAUGAGUGUUAAAAUUGCUCACCAACAGUCUAUAAAAACAGAAACAUAAAGUGGCCCCGUUCCCAAAAUUGACCAUGGAAUCCUUUGGGCUACCCCAGGUUAUAGGUCAGUGGGCUAACCCCCCCCAAAGAAUGAUUGGCCACCCUUGGGUGUACAGAGUAAAACCCUCAGAAAUGGGUGUGCUUGUCACCUGUCACCACGAAACCAUGUAGCAAAAAUACCUGAUUGGAAACGUGUGUAAGACAAACUAAAAAAUGGAACGCGUGUUUUGUACACCGGCCAGUGUGUAAGUGUUACAUGCUGGAACACAGGAUUUGGGGAGGAUGCAAGUACCAGCCAACCCGCAGUGGAUGAAUGUAGGUGUAAUGCCCGUGUGUUAGAUACUAGCAAUCACACGCACUAGUGCCCAGAGACGGGAGAAGCACAGAGCACUGUUACCGCCACCCCGGUUAAUUUUUCUGUUUUCCAACCGACACAGAGGGCUAUAGAGAAGCGCGCCAUAUAAAGAUUAUGUGCCAAUGGAGACAUGCUAAAAAUGGCUAAGUCUGAAAGAGAACGGGCAGCCUGUCCCUGGUGUGACGUUUUUCCAGGCUGGCCCCCGCCCUCUAAGGGCAAAUUGUCUAUUAUGUUUCACCCAUUACUAGUCGGGUUAAUAGUGUCCUGUCUUUGCUUGCUAGGAACGUGUUGUACGUGUUGUUGGACAAAAAGAAAGUUUGUUAAAUUACAACCACAAGCUCAAAUGGCCUCUCAGUAUAUUGCUAUGAAAUAGUUGUAUCAAAUAAGACCCACUCGAGGAUUGUUCUUGAGGCGUCAAAAGGGGGACGUGUAAUAGUAGGAUCUUAUGUUUGUAUUUUGUAUAAUUCUGUGUCUGAGCUGAUUUCAAGGCAGUGACAGACCUUUGAGGGUCACCACAUGGCUGUAGGCUUGUAGAAGUAAAAGAAUGCCGGAUUGUUUUCCUCUGCA
Long non-coding RNA from Gopherus evgoodei (Goodes thornscrub tortoise), 1902 nucleotides. RefSeq lists it as uncharacterized. Lineage: Eukaryota; Metazoa; Chordata; Testudines; Testudinidae. The record is from RefSeq and is a predicted model, not a curated record. The transcript is spliced from 2 exons.